Molecule: long non-coding RNA, 1593 nt
Filed under: Salvia miltiorrhiza (redroot sage)
Lineage: Eukaryota; Viridiplantae; Streptophyta; Magnoliopsida; Lamiales; Lamiaceae
Description: long non-coding RNA (SMIL_LNC005155)
Source: RNAcentral
AUCAUUUUACAUACUCAAAAUAUAUGACAUAUUUUUUUUAAAUAUAAUAGCUAGCUAUUUUAAAAUAUUGUAGCCAACUCGCCACAGCUGCCUCCGUCUCCACCAUCUUACUAACAUGAAAAGAUUGAAAAGAUUUGUGGGCUGAGUACUAGUGUACCCAGUGGGUCGUGCAUUUUGAAAUAAUCAUUUUCAUAUGAUAGUCCAUGCACAUACGUGAAUUAUAGAAGGUUUUAAAAUAAAACAUUUAACUUCUAUAAUCACAAAACAUUUUCAUUCAUUGCGCGCGCCAUACCGUAGCACCACUGUUACCCUUAUCAUUUCAUUCGUAGUCCCUGGGCGACCCCUGGGAAGUAAUCAUUCAUUCAUUCAUUCAUUAACUAGAUGGGACAUCGGGACAAACCCACGUCAGCUACACCAUCUAGCCGGAUUAAGGGCGAACCUAUAAUCCUCAUUUCGUCUAUAAGGCUCGUGGGAAUCAAUCCACUACCUUAAGACAGUGCGCACAACUUUUAAUAGGUGUGUCAGACCUAUUAAAAGUCACAAUUGUUAACAUAAGAGCAUUAAACAGUGGGAGAACGUGAAAACAUUUCAUGGACAUACCACAUUUUAUCUAAUAAUAACAGAGCUAAAUAACUCAAAUAUACUUUGAAAAAUAGAACCCACCUUAAUGCUGUGAUGCUUUCUGUCGAUUAUUCUCAAUCCUCUUGAACGACCACAUUUCAAAAGCUUAUUUUCAAUUUUAAGAGCUCAGUGCUCGAAAAUAACAUCCAAACCCACUAUUUAUACUAAUUUCAAUAGGCUAUAGGUUUGAUUAGUCAGCAGCCUAUUUAUAUAGGUAUGCUUAGUUAUUGCUUUAAAAGCUUUCCACGUAAAUUCAUGCAUGAAUAUAAAGAGAACAAUUCAUAUUAUUUUAAUGAAACACAAUUUGAUAACUAUCAUAUAUAUACUUUUAUAUAUUAUACGCAUAUAUAUGCAUACAUAUCAAUUAACAACUUUAAUUAGUCAUAGACAUUACAUGCGUAUAUACAUAUAUUAUAAAUAAAAUAAUUAUUAACACACACAUAUAUAUAUAUAUAUUAGAAUUCUAUUUGUACAAUCAUUUCCAAAAAUUCUUGAGUCUAUAAACUUGCGUUUGAAAACUCUUCAAACUAAUUAUAAUUAUGAAAACGUUGAGAAUUAUGAUAAAUAAAAUCAUAAUUAUUAACAAUAUAUAAUUCAACUUCUUGAUUGUCAAUCUAAUUUAUUUUAAGUCCAAAUAAAUUCAAAUUCCCUUAAUUUCUACCAAUUAUUCUAAAAAGUAAUCUAAUAUUAUUCUAGCGAAAAAUCGGGGUGUUACAAAACCAUAGAAAUACAAGUUCAUUCCAGCAACAAUACUCACCGGAUUUUUUUCAGGUACAAUUCCGACCAAAAAACCCUAUGAACUUUGGUUUUGAAUGAGUGAAAACAUAAUCGAACGUAGUAACGAACUUAAAUGAACCGAAAAGAGAGUUAGAACUCACCCAAAUGCAUUGGAUUCAUUGCGUUGGCUCGAUGAUUCUACCCAAAGCAAAUGGAACUGGCUUCGUUUUCCCUCCUUGCCUUUGUGGUUUCUCG